GCUGGAGCUUGCUCCAGCAGGUUAGCGGCGGACGGGUGAGUAACACGUGGGCAACCUGCCUGUAAGACUGGGAUAACUCCGGGAAACCGGAGCUAAUACCGGAUAGUAUCUUGAACCGCAUGGUUCAAGUUGGAAAGACGGUUUCGGCUGUCACUUACAGAUGGGCCCGCGGCGCAUUAGCUAGUUGGUGAGGUAAUGGCUCACCAAGGCAACGAUGCGUAGCCGACCUGAGAGGGUGAUCGGCCACACUGGGACUGAGACACGGCCCAGACUCCUACGGGAGGCAGCAGUAGGGAAUCUUCCGCAAUGGACGAAAGUCUGACGGAGCAACGCCGCGUGAGUGAUGAAGGUUUUCGGAUCGUAAAACUCUGUUGUUAGGGAAGAACAAGUGCGAGAGUAACUGCUCGCACCUUGACGGUACCUAACCAGAAAGCCACGGCUAACUACGUGCCAGCAGCCGCGGUAAUACGUAGGUGGCAAGCGUUGUCCGGAAUUAUUGGGCGUAAAGCGCGCGCAGG
Molecule: ribosomal RNA, 518 nt
Filed under: Metabacillus idriensis
Lineage: Bacteria; Bacillati; Bacillota; Bacilli; Caryophanales; Bacillaceae
Description: bacterial SSU rRNA
Rfam family: Bacterial small subunit ribosomal RNA
Source: RNAcentral